Molecule: unclassified non-coding RNA, 476 nt
Filed under: Hevea brasiliensis (rubber tree)
Lineage: Eukaryota; Viridiplantae; Streptophyta; Magnoliopsida; Malpighiales; Euphorbiaceae
Source: RNAcentral
AUGUAAUUCGGUUUUCAUGAUUUGAUUCGAUUUGGUUUGGUUUGAACCGAAUGCUCACCCCUGUAUUGAGGCAUUCAGCCAUUCACUCCUUCCUGUUUUCAAGUAUUCUUUUAGUUUCAAUUAUGAAUGUGGAAUGCAAUAUUCAUUUCAGUAUUUAUGUUUUAAGAACAUUGGAAAUUUGAGAACUUCUGUUUUAGGGGUCUCCGUAUGAUUUAUUCAUGUCAGCAAACCUAUGAGGGGAUUAUGAAAAUUAUGAAAUGGUAACAAAUGACAUAUUGCCUCUGCCUGAACAAAUGUUUUCAGUGCAUAUUCUGGGUGUGUUAAAGGGUAUUUGGUAUUUGUUUCAGUAUUGCCCUUGGACUAUAGACAUCUGAUUGCAACUUAAUAUUGCUAAUGUGUUACGUACUUCUACCGUGACUGUCAUUAGGUAAGAAGGAGGUAGAGGAUCGUCGAGAGCAACUUUCAGCUGCCAAGAG